Astyanax mexicanus (Mexican tetra) is the source of this 2975-nucleotide long non-coding RNA. RefSeq lists it as uncharacterized. The transcript is spliced from 3 exons. The record is from RefSeq and is a predicted model, not a curated record. NCBI's taxonomy places the organism in Eukaryota, Metazoa, Chordata, Actinopteri, Characiformes, Acestrorhamphidae.
GAGAUAAUAAGAGGCACAAUCCAUCAAACUUUUUGACAGGUGACCUUUGACCUUUGCUAGGUGCCUUUUUUGACCCCUCCCCCACACCACGUGCCUCUAAUUUCUGGAAUGUGACCUUUGACCCCUCAGAUCACCCUAUGAUGACAUCUGUUAGUAAUUAUGUUUUCAUUCAUCUGUAAUUACCUUUGACCUUUGCCAUGUGCCCUUUGACCCCUCCCACACCCCGUGCCUCCUUUUCUGGAAUGUGACAUUUGACCCCUCAGAUCACCCUAUGAUGCUGUCAGUUAGUAAUUAUGUUUUCAAUCAUCUGUAAUUACCAUUGACCCCUCAGAUCCCCUGACCCUUGAACUCUCUUAAUUAUUUUUCUGAUAUCAAUGACCACGAGUCUCCGGUAAUUAUUAACUGGUGGUGUGUAAUUACCCCUGCCAUUCGUCAUUCAUGUUUUGGAUAUGAGGUAAUUUAAACCAUGGUGACACACCGCCCCGCCCAUCCCUCCGCCCUUCCUGCCCCAUCCCCACCUCUUCCCGUCCCGCCCAGCCCCGCCCCCAUCAUUAUUCAGAUUGUCCUGAUUGGUCAAAAAAAAUAUUCCCGCCAAAAGUAUUGACCAAUAAGGUUGUUAUUCCUAUGGAGCAAUCACAGCAAGCCUACGAGUGAAAUGUGUAUUUAAGAGAUAGGGGUUAGCGAGAUGUGUGAAGGACCGAGAGAACGGAGCAAUGGCUUGUGUUUCUGAGGUUGCUGAAAACCAAAGCUUCCCAUACCGGGAUUCGAACCCGGACCGUCUGGAUGAAAGCCAGAAAUCCUACGCGUUAGACCAUAUGGGAGGAUCUGUAGAAGAAGAGCACGAUGACGAGAAUCUAAAAAGGAUCAGAAUGUUUCAUUGUUGAAACUGUGACAGACUGUGAUGCUGUGACAGACGAAAGUGUGCUAUAUCAUACAUUUCAAACCUCGUCUCUCUCCUUCCCUUUCUGACCUGGACCUGGAUGCUUCAGUGCCCUGACUACAGAUAAACAGCAGAAUAGUUUAAUAAUGAGGAAAACUGACCAAAGUGGCAGGACAGUACAAAUAAAGAUGUUAUUGACAUUUAAGGGAAUGAACAUACAGAUUAUACAAUAGCCAAGAACUCCCAUCCAUGCAGCAGCAGAACAUGCCAGCCUGUAUCUCAGGGGCUUGUACUUCAGGAAAGUGACAGGAUGGACCACCGCCAUGUAACGCUCCACACAGAUCAAACAGAGAAACAGAGGAUGGGCGCAGAUAAAUACUCCCCCAUAAAAACUACUAAUGGUGUAAAUUCUAAACAGACAAAACUAAGAACGUAGAAUAAACAGCGUAUGCAGAUGAACAUCUCGUUAACAGUCAGAUUGAGGCCGAAAAACUCAGACACAACCGCACUUCCUUUUCUCAUCAAAAUAAGCCAUAAGACGUAGGAAUUGAUAGGUAAACCCACAAUGAAAUUGAUUGCAUAACCUGGAAUGUACAUAGGGUCUGUAUAUCCUGCCCAAGGAUUCCUGCUUGUAGCAUUUCUAAACAGGUUUGAGAUGGGUGUGCUGGAAAGCCCAUCAGAGACGUUCAUCUUCAGAGUGCACACCCCUUCUCACAAUAAAAUAUGAAAUCUGAAAUAAAUUACACAAAGAAAAUUAUAUAAGGGCCAAAUAUAAUGAAACAAACAGCCUGUUUUCUUUAUCAGAACAAAUUCAUUGUAUAGUGUUUUUUUGUGCAUAGAUCUAGAUCAACAUAGAUCUAAAGUGUUCAGUUGAUAUAGUCAUGAUAAAUUUCAUAACUACCAUAGUAAACCAUAGUAAUGAUAGUACAGUUAAAAAGUGAUCUCACCUUUCAGUCAUAAACAGAAUGCAGGAUACCACAAGAAGAAUACAUUAGUAUAUUAAUUUAAUGGACUGACUAAUUAUCAAUUCACAUUAGUUUAAACAUUAUUAAUCAUUAUAUUUUAACUUAAUUAAAUUCUAAAUUCAUUAUAAUUUACAGCAUUCUUAAGCCUAAAAUUGUACAAAUUAGUGUUGUGUAAAAUGUCUAGUAUUAUUUAACAAUGUUCAUUACUGUCAUAAGUACUGUGAUGCAUCCUUCCUGUAAAUUGUUUCUGAGUUCAGCAUUGUUGAGAACUGCACCCUUAAAAUGAUCAGUGUAUUGUUCUGAGAACAGCAACAUCUUUAUCUGAUACACAGAUGCUCUUCUUUGUCAUCAGUUUCAACUUAAAGUGAUGUUUAUUUGAUGGGGUAGGAUUUGGUGGUCUACUAGGUUUUGUAUAGUUAUUAGGGUUUCUCUAUAAUAUUAAAUAAAUAAAAUCUAAUUAAAUCCAAGCUCAAAUGUUACACAAUAAAUGGUAAAUAAAUUGAUUCUUAUGAGUUUUUCUACUACUGUAAAUAUGCCAUUUUAAAUACAACAGCAUUAAUAUACAAUAACCUUUUUUCAAAUCAUUAUGUAUAUAUUUUACUUUAAAGUAAGUAAACGUCAGAAGAUAUUCCAUAAUAAAAAUAUAUAUAUUUCUUAAUGCAUACGUACUGUAUAGGCAGAAAAAACUUUAGUUCCAUAAGUAGUCAAGAAAAGCAGACAUCUGGCUAAUUUACCAUAAAAGGCAUCUGUUUGAGUGUGUGUGUGUGUGUGUGUGUGUGUGUGUGUGUGUGUGUGUGUGUGUGUGUGUGUGACUUUAUUUAAUUUAUGACAUGUGAUUUUUCAUGCAUUUAAAUGUAUGCUAAGCUAAUGUCAGUAAGGUAAAUGCCAGUAAUGUUUGACAUGAAGGGUAGCAGUUUUAUGUAGCAUACAUCAAUGUAAAUUCAAUAAAUAUUGACUAAAUGCAAUAAAAAAAUUCAAACAAAAAAACUUUUCAUGUGAUGUAAACUACAUCCAACAUCAACAAAAAUAAAAUCUACAGCCAGAGUUAUGUGGUUAUGUGACAGUCCUUUCAGUUAUAGGCAGUUCAGUUAUAAGCAUUAAUAUACUGUAUGACGUGUACUAUUUUAAUG